This 266-nucleotide ribosomal RNA is filed under the name uncultured bacterium. RNAcentral's name for it is "partial 16S ribosomal RNA". It matches the Rfam family "Bacterial small subunit ribosomal RNA", at positions 1234 to 1500 of the family's 1533-position model. The record is from RNAcentral.
CCGUAACAGAGGGAAGCAAGAUAGUGAUAUGGAGCAAAACCCUAAAAAGCGGUCUCAGUUCGGAUUGAAGGCUGAAAUUCGCCUUCAUGAAGCUGGAAUUGCUAGUAAUGGCAGGUCAGCAUACUGCCGUGAAUACGUUCCCGGGCCUUGUACACACCGCCCGUCACACCAUGAGAGUCGGGAACACCCGAAGUCCGUAGUCUAACCGCAAGGGGGCGCGGCCGAAGGUGGGUCCGGUAAUUGGGGUGAAGUCGUAACAAGGUAGC